AAAUGGGUUUUUUGUGACUUGCAUGUACUUGUGAGGAAAUGUGCGAGUCCGUUUGGCCAUGCAACGCAAGUUCAACUUGUGGCUACUUACAACUAUUUGUGAUUCAGUUUGGCCAGGGCUUUAAACUCUGUCCUUUCUUUUGUAACAGACAGCAUAGGUCUUCAUCGUGUGGAGAACGUUAGCCAUACUGACACAGCUGCAUCACUUCAUGUCUACAUCCCAGCAUUUGACAUGUGUCAGUCAUUUGACCAGCGCACAGGAUACAAGCGGAAAUGUCAAGUGACAUUCUGGAGCAAGUUUGGCUCGAGAACACCUUAUAAACCAAGCUCAUGUGCCAACUAAUGCUAUCCACAAGAAAAGAAGUAUAUGUGUUUUCACUGUAAGGAAUCUUUGAGAAACAAUACAUGUACAUCCCAACAGGGAUUGGUCAACAUUUAUGAUACUUAAAAUCCUUCUGAUAUUUACUGCAAAUAUGAAAAUAUGAACAUAUAAAAAUAUGAGCUAUAUUACACGUACUUAAAGGUUUCAAAACUACUUUUAAGUUUACAGGCCUCGAAAAAAGUGCCAUCUGGUCAUCUGGGACAAGUAGAUUCUCCUUAGAACUGGGCAAGUGACUUUUCACUCGUACUUGCCCCAUGGGCAAGGGAUCAGGCAAGUCGUCUGACAAAUAAAUCAUUAAAAGAUCAAACUAUGACUUGCCAGGGCAAGCAAACUUUAAGAGCUACUUAUCCCAAGGGCAAGCUGGAAUUCAAGGUUUUUUUUGAGUCCUGAGUUUAAUGUUUGCCUAUUUGAUCUAAACAUGUACAUGCUUAGUUUUCAUUUUGUAGGCUUUUGAUAGUUUUGAAUUUUGCCUUCAUUGUACGUGCUAAACUCUAUUUAAUGUAUAGAACAGUAUUUUAUUACUGAAAAAACUAAAUGUCUAACAUCAAAUGAUAAAGUUCCUAUUCUCUGUAUGCCACAUGAAAUUAACCUAUGUAGCCAGAGUGAAGCACUCUACACAGGCUACAUGAAAUUCAAUUUACUUUAAAAAAAGAGACAAGUGCAGGGAACAGAGUGUUGUUAUAAAGUUAAGUGAUUGUUAGAAUGCCAUGGGCUAAAACGUUGAAAAAUGUUACAAAGUAUACAUUGAUAUUGGAAUAGCAAUAAUUAAGUUUUGGUCUUACCUAGGAAGACUUUAAACAAAUCAUAUUUUCUUAUGAAAUUAAUAGAUUGUUCGCUUUAUUAAGACUGUAUUUUGUAGUUGGAUAUUUUACGCAAGUUAAAAACUGUUUGUUAAGUCCUUGUUGACUAUUAAAAUGUACUUCACAGGUGUGAAAACCUUUGGAAUGAAAAAAAGUUAUUAAAGCAGUUGUUGAUUGUA
Molecule: long non-coding RNA, 1360 nt
Organism: Orbicella faveolata
Lineage: Eukaryota; Metazoa; Cnidaria; Anthozoa; Scleractinia; Merulinidae
Source: RefSeq, a predicted model, not a curated record